GACGAACGCUGGCGGCGUGCCUAAUACAUGCAAGUUGAGCGCUGAAGGUUGGUACUUGUACCAACUGGAUGAGCAGCGAACGGGUGAGUAACGCGUGGGGAAUCUGCCUUUGAGCGGGGUACAACAUUUGGAAACGAAUGCUAAUACCGCAUAAAAACUUUCAACACAAGUUUUAAGUUUGAAAGAUGCAAUUGCAUCACUCAAAGAUGAUCCUGCGUUGUUUUAGGUAGUUGGUGAGGUAAAGGCUCACCAAGGCGAUGCUACAUAGCCGACCUGAGAGGGCGGUCAGCCGCAUUGGGACUGUGACCCGCCCCAAACUCCUUCGGGAGGCAGCCGUAGGGCAUCGUCGGCAAGGGGCGAAAGUCUGACCGAGCAACGCCGCGUGAGUGAAGAAGGUUUUCGGAUCGUAAAACUCUGUUGGUAGGGAAGAACGUUGGUGAGAGUGGAAAGCUCAUCAAGUGACGGUAACUACCCAGAAAGGGACGGCUAACUACGUG
This 497-nucleotide ribosomal RNA is filed under the name uncultured bacterium. Its description in RNAcentral is "partial 16S ribosomal RNA". It matches the Rfam family "Bacterial small subunit ribosomal RNA", at positions 28 to 507 of the family's 1533-position model. The record is from RNAcentral.